RNAcentral lists this transfer RNA (90 nucleotides) under Candidatus Coatesiibacteriota bacterium. RNAcentral describes it as "Candidatus Coatesbacteria bacterium tRNA-Ser". It matches the Rfam family "tRNA". Rfam says of the family: Transfer RNA (tRNA) molecules are approximately 80 nucleotides in length. The record is from RNAcentral. Lineage: Bacteria; Candidatus Coatesiibacteriota.
GGAGAGGUUCCCGAGAGGUUUAAGGGGGCAGUCUCGAAAAUUGCUGAUUCUUGUAUAAAGGAUCCGAGGGUUCGAAUCCCUCCCUCUCCG